Ictalurus punctatus (channel catfish) is the source of this 426-nucleotide long non-coding RNA. The record is from Ensembl. Lineage: Eukaryota; Metazoa; Chordata; Actinopteri; Siluriformes; Ictaluridae.
CAGAACGUUUGCUGUUCUGCAGCUGUCAGUGGCUUUUGUGUGCUGAGAGCUGAGGGAAUGUGUGAGUGAGUGUAUGUGUGUGUAAGUGAGUGAGUGAGUGAGUGAAUGUGUGUGUGAGUGUGUGAGUGAGUGAAUGUGUGUGUGAGUGUGUGAGUGAGUGAGUGAGUGAGUGUAUGUGUAUGUAAGUGAGUGAGUGAGUGAGUGAGUGAGUGAAUGUGUGUGUGAGUGAGUGAAUGUGUGUGUGAGUGUGUGAGUGAGUGAGUGAAUGUGUGUGUGAGUGAGUGAGUGAGUGAAUGUGUGUGUGAGUGUGUGAGUGAGUGAGUGAAUGUGUGUGUGAGUGAGUGUGUGAUUGAGUGAAUGUGUGUGUGAGUGUGUGAGUGAGUGAGUGAAUUGGUGUGUGAGUGUGUGAGUGAGUGAGUGAAUGUG